CCGAAUCUGCCAGCUUGUACCGGUACAAGGUAAGGGCUGUACCGGUACAGCAAGCAGAAAAUGCUGAUUUUCGUCAGUUCAACGCACUUUCUUGCUUUAAGCAUUCCAAUCACCCUCUAACUUGUUCAAAAACUUGUCCAAGUCAUUUAGAACAUGUAGAAUAGUUCCACACUUCAUUCCACACACUCGAACUCUGCAA
Molecule: long non-coding RNA, 199 nt
Filed under: Ananas comosus (pineapple)
Lineage: Eukaryota; Viridiplantae; Streptophyta; Magnoliopsida; Poales; Bromeliaceae
Description: long non-coding RNA (ACOM_LNC040232)
Source: RNAcentral